CCCAAGAACUGCAAGAUCAUGACCUGAGCCAAAGUCAGAUGCUUCUGUGACUGAGCCACCCAGGCGCUCCUUCACUGAACUGUACCUUGAGGGAAGGAGCCAACCUGCAUUCUCUUCCAGAGAAGCUGGAGAUGAGCUACAGCAGUGACAUCAAGUGGUUGUUAUAGGGUAUCUUCCUUUCAAUUUGGGAUUUUGACUUUGAUAUUAAAGCAAAUUACCUUAA
Long non-coding RNA from Suricata suricatta (meerkat), 223 nucleotides. RefSeq lists it as uncharacterized. The transcript has 2 exons. NCBI's taxonomy places the organism in Eukaryota, Metazoa, Chordata, Mammalia, Carnivora, Herpestidae. The record is from RefSeq and is a predicted model, not a curated record.